UCCGUAGGUGAACCUGUAAGUCGUCGCCAAUUCUCCCCAUCUCGUGAUUGUCUAUCACUAACAACUAAUGUAGGCGGAGGGAUCAUUA
This 88-nucleotide ribosomal RNA is filed under the name Astrothelium macrostiolatum. RNAcentral describes it as "partial 18S ribosomal RNA". Lineage: Eukaryota; Fungi; Ascomycota; Dothideomycetes; Trypetheliales; Trypetheliaceae. The record is from RNAcentral.